This 555-nucleotide ribosomal RNA is filed under the name Staphylococcus aureus. Its description in RNAcentral is "bacterial SSU rRNA". It matches the Rfam family "Bacterial small subunit ribosomal RNA", at positions 254 to 801 of the family's 1533-position model. The record is from RNAcentral. Lineage: Bacteria; Bacillati; Bacillota; Bacilli; Caryophanales; Staphylococcaceae.
AAGGUAACGGCUUACCAAGGCAACGAUGCAUAGCCGACCUGAGAGGGUGAUCGGCCACACUGGAACUGAGACACGGUCCAGACUCCUACGGGAGGCAGCAGUAGGGAAUCUUCCGCAAUGGGCGAAAGCCUGACGGAGCAACGCCGCGUGAGUGAUGAAGGUCUUCGGAUCGUAAAACUCUGUUAUUAGGGAAGAACAUAUGUGUAAGUAACUGUGCACAUCUUGACGGUACCUAAUCAGAAAGCCACGGCUAACUACGUGCCAGCAGCCGCGGUAAUACGUAGGUGGCAAGCGUUAUCCGGAAUUAUUGGGCGUAAAGCGCGCGUAGGCGGUUUUUUAAGUCUGAUGUGAAAGCCCACGGCUCAACCGUGGAGGGUCAUUGGAAACUGGAAAACUUGAGUGCAGAAGAGGAAAGUGGAAUUCCAUGUGUAGCGGUGAAAUGCGCAGAGAUAUGGAGGAACACCAGUGGCGAAGGCGACUUUCUGGUCUGUAACUGACGCUGAUGUGCGAAAGCGUGGGGAUCAAACAGGAUUAGAUACCCUGGUAGUCCACGCC